AAGACAAAGAGAAGGAUGAAAGAAAAGAGAAAAAAAAUAGAAAAAAGAGAAAAAAAAAGAAAAAAAAAAAGAAAAAGGUAUCUGUCUUUUCCUUGUCUCCUCGAUGGAUUAGUUUAAAACCCUUUGCGUUUGUGAUUGCGUGCUCACGUCGUUCCGAAAACCGAAAUCAGUAAAAUCUUUUUAGAGUCCUCUUAGCUUCAAUUUAGCGAGCAAGCGAAUAACAGAGAAAGAGAAAGAGAAAGACAGAGAGAGAGAGAGAGAUAAAGAGAGAGAGAGAGAGAAGUUCUCAACACCAGGGAACAACACAACAACCGGUCGUACCGGGGCAAGUUGGAAGAGCCGACCGAGUCCCAAGAUCCUUCGUCCAAUCCGUAUAUACCACCUUUUUCUUCCUUCUACACGACCUUCCCGUCGGCUUUUCUAUCCCGAUACAAAGAGGCGCGAGCGAGCCUAAUUAUUAUGAUAGCUCGCCACUGGAUUCUGUCGGUUCCUUUGAUCUGCCGCCGUUUAGCAUGAUCCCCCGAUAUUUAGGUAGGCCCCGUUGUCCCUCUUCCGACGCUGCCACUCGGUUCUCUCUUCUCACUCGGCAGUUCAGUGGGGAGUGUGCGGUUGGCUCUCUUUGCCGUUUAUGUAAAGGGGUGGGGGUAAAGAUCAGAGUGGGGAUGAAGCACGAGGGCGGAUCGUACCGAGUAGUACGAUCGUUGGUGGGACGAGGUCCAUGGAUAUAAACCAUUCAUCAAUGAGCAUUUUUUUCGGAAAAUUUACAAGUCCCUCUUUCUUUCUCUCUCUCUCUCUCUCUCUUUCUCUCUUUCUCUCUUUCUCUCUUUCUCUCUUUCUCUCUUUCUCUCUUUCUCUCUUUUUAUCUCCGUCCGCAUAGCCCAUCUUUCUUUAUCCCUCUUCUUCAUUCUUUCCGUUCUUCGAGAAGUAAGAGGAGUAAGAAAAGGAAGAGGAGGAGGUGAAGAAGGAGAAGAAGAAGUAGAAGAUCGUGGACCACACGUGAACACGCAGAGUUCGAGUCAUCGUCUCUUUCGUCGUCUUCGUUGUCGUCGUAUCGUUUGCCAUCGAUACAACACGCCAUUCUUCUUCUUAUCUCGAACCUACCAAGCGAACACGUUCGAUCUCGUCUCAAAACCGAACUCGAUAACAGCCGAGGUCUGGCAAGCGUGUAAUUUUCCACCGCUUAUCCAACCACUCUACGACCGGGAUCCAUUCUCUUGUCAGAUCGGGCCGAGUCACGGAAGGUGUGAGGGGACAAAAAAGUCUUGGGUGGGAGAGUAAAAGAAAGAGAGAGAGAGAGAGAGAGAGAGAAAGAGAAGGAGAAGGAGAGAGGGGAAGGAAGGGGAUAAAUCUCGUUACAGCUCUCGAGAUACAUCCUUCGUAAUCGAGCACGGCACACGGUGCUUGCGCAGCUUGCUUCCACGAUGCGCCGUGACGACGGACGCUAAUAGCGUUCGCACGACACCUUUCGAGAGUAAAGGAGACUCGUCAAGAGAAAAAAUACGAUACGAUGUACUAACUUAAGCGUAAUUGACGAGAAGUCUAGGACAGGUCACGCGAAGGUAUUCUUACAGCAAAGGUCGCUGCCACGGCAAAAGUUCAUGAACGUUUCGCAUCGCUCGUUUCCUCUUCGAACGAACAAUCAGAUCUAUUUAUGUAUCACAGAUACAUGUAUGUACAUACAUACAGAUACAUACAUAUAUAUCUAAAUACUUAUUUAUAUCCUUAGACAUAAAUAUUCCAUCUGUCUCCUCAUUUUCGAUUUAGAUUUAAAACGUUCACCAUGUAAUACUGAAAUACUUAAAUAAGUAACUAUAAUACAUCCGCGAAAGAAAAGAAAAAAAAAAUCUGAUCAUCCUAUCUCUCUCUCUCUCUCUCUCUCUCUCUCUCUCUCUCUCUCUCUCUUGUUCUCUCUCUUUCUCUCUGUUUUUUUAUCUCCCAUUCUUCAAUCGAUUGAAUGUGAGCAUAUCUUGUACUUACACGUACUUACUUACAAUACACGAUAUUUAUUUACUACCUAUUAAACUCACUUGUCUCGGGAGACCGAUCCUACAUUGAUGCGUAACCAAAACCAAGUUAUUAUUUAACACUGCCUUCCCCCUUCCUCUCAACCUUACUUUACUUCUUGCAAGUUCGAAUAAAUGAAUCGACAGAUAAGUGUAAGAUACUUAAUACAGGUACAAAUAACAUCAUUGCACAAAAAUCAUUAGAUUGAUUU
Vespa mandarinia (Asian giant hornet) is the source of this 2215-nucleotide long non-coding RNA. NCBI's taxonomy places the organism in Eukaryota, Metazoa, Arthropoda, Insecta, Hymenoptera, Vespidae. The record is from RefSeq and is a predicted model, not a curated record.